This 463-nucleotide ribosomal RNA is filed under the name uncultured bacterium. Its description in RNAcentral is "bacterial SSU rRNA". It matches the Rfam family "Bacterial small subunit ribosomal RNA", at positions 331 to 792 of the family's 1533-position model. The record is from RNAcentral.
CCAGACUCCUACGGGAGGCAGCAGUGAGGAAUAUUGGUCAAUGGCCGGAAGGCUGAACCAGCCAAGCCGCGUGAAGGACGAAGGUGCCAAGCAUUGUAAACUUCUUUUGUCAAGGGACAAAAUCAGGCUCGAGAGCCUGACCGAGGGUACUUGAAGAAAAAGCAUCGGCUAACUCCGUGCCAGCAGCCGCGGUAAUACGGAGGAUGCGAGCGUUAUCCGGAUUUAUUGGGUUUAAAGGGUGCGUAGGCGGGCUGUUAAGUCGGGGGUAAAAGCCCGGGGCUCACCCCCGGCCUGCCGUUGAAGCUGGCGGCCUCGAGUGGGCGAGAAGUAUGCGGAAUGCGUGGUGUAGCGGUGAAAUGCAUAGAUAUCACGCAGAACUCCGAUUGCGAAGGCAGCACACCGGCGCCCUACUGACGCUGAGGCACGAAAGCGUGGGUAUCGAACAGGAUUAGAUACCCGAGUA